UGAGAAACAGAGGCUAAGGACACCAUUCCUUACCCAUCCUGGCUAAUAGCUAUGCAUGGACUUAACUACCAUGCAUUUAAUCUGUUC
This is a non-coding RNA of Chelonoidis abingdonii (Abingdon island giant tortoise), 87 nucleotides long. NCBI's taxonomy places the organism in Eukaryota, Metazoa, Chordata, Testudines, Testudinidae. The record is from RefSeq and is a predicted model, not a curated record.